GCCUGGAUAGCUCAGUUGGUUAGAGUACAGUGUUGAUAAUGCCAAGCUUGCAGGUUCGAUCCCUGUAGGGGA
This is a non-coding RNA of Podarcis lilfordi (Lilford's wall lizard), 72 nucleotides long. NCBI's taxonomy places the organism in Eukaryota, Metazoa, Chordata, Lepidosauria, Squamata, Lacertidae. The record is from the annotation of a GenBank genome assembly.